Eriocheir sinensis (Chinese mitten crab) is the source of this 820-nucleotide long non-coding RNA. RefSeq lists it as uncharacterized. The transcript has 3 exons. Lineage: Eukaryota; Metazoa; Arthropoda; Malacostraca; Decapoda; Varunidae. The record is from RefSeq and is a predicted model, not a curated record.
GAUCAUGCUAGCUUACGUUGAGGUGCCGCAGGAUGUGAACUUGUGCCCCGAGGUGGUUGUCAAGGACUUCCCAGUGACUAGUGAAAAGAAAAUGUGUCAGCGGGGAAACAGACCGAGCUGCAGAUUAGCCGGCAGCGGUGACCCAACAUUGCUACGCCCUGGGUAACGUAGAACGCGACCGGACCCAGGGAAAGCGGCAGCCCGGCCCGGCAAUUGUGAGUGGCGCCUCGUGGGAAGAGACGCCCGUUGCGGUGAUGUAGAGACGCACACUGCCUCAUAGACGUCACUCGAUGGAGGAGGACGGGCUCAGCAGAAUGUCAGCUGCCUGAGUGCCCGUAGAUGAUGACGCCAAGGUAGACGGGGAGCAAAGGACGAACCGACGGUGUCAGCUCGGCGAGGAGACGAGACUAGGUAGGUGGGACGGAGGCGCCGGCAGGCCGUGCCCAGUGGACUGCGGGGCUCCACGGUUGAGAGGGAGGAAAGGGGACGCAGGUCCUGGACCGCUCUCGGGUCAGUUCCGCUCUGCCUCAGCUCUCGGGCAACCACACCACCUUGGCUCGCUUCGACGCCGCGUGGAGUCAGGGCGCCGACCGUGAAGCCGAAUGAGACUGCAUCGCCACCAGGCGCAGCUUCGGGUCGGCGAACAAAGCAGGCUGGGUGAAGCAGCAAGCUGGGAAGAAUCGAAAGAGCAUCAACCCUUAUACCGGUGUGUGUGUGUGUGUGUGUGAGUGGUAGUUCAGCCCUCACAUUAGCCCCCUUACAAAAAUCUACCGUAGGUAGAUUAAACUGAACUAACACGAUACAACGAAAAAUAAGCAAC